Molecule: ribosomal RNA, 1038 nt
Filed under: uncultured bacterium
Lineage: Bacteria
Description: bacterial SSU rRNA
Rfam family: Bacterial small subunit ribosomal RNA
Source: RNAcentral
CAGGCUUAACACAUGCAAGUCGAGGGGUAACAUAGAGGAGCUUGCUUUUCUGAUGACGACCGGCGCACGGGUGCGUAACGCGUAUAGAAUCUACCUUAUACUGAGGGAUAGCCUUUGGAAACGAAGAUUAACACCUCAUAGUAUGAUUAAUUGGCAUCAAUAUAUCAUUAAAGGUUACGGUAUAAGAUGACUAUGCGUUCUAUUAGCUAGAUGGUGUGGUAACGGCACACCAUGGCUACGAUAGAUAGGGGCCCUGAGAGGGGGAUCCCCCACACUGGUACUGAGACACGGACCAGACUCCUACGGGAGGCAGCAGUGAGGAAUAUUGGACAAUGGAGGCAACUCUGAUCCAGCCAUGCCGCGUGCAGGAAGACUGCCCUAUGGGUUGUAAACUGCUUUUAUACAGGAAGAAACCGCUCUACGUGUAGAGCUCUGACGGUACUGUAAGAAUAAGGAUCGGCUAACUCCGUGCCAGCAGCCGCGGUAAUACGGAGGACCCGAGCGUUAUCCGGAAUCAUUGGGGUUUAAAGGGUCCGUUAGGUGGAUAAUUAAGUCAGAAGUGAAAAGUUUGCGGCUCAACCGUAAAAAUUGCCUUUGAUACUGGUUAUCUUGAAUUAUUGUGAAGUAGUUAGAAUAUGUAGUGUAGCGGUGAAAUGCAUAGAUAUUACAUAGAAUACCAAUUGCGAAAGGCAGAUUACUAACAAUAUAUUGACACUGAUGGACGAAAGCGUGGGUAGCGAACAGGAUUAGAUACCCUGGUAGUCCACGCCGUAAACGAUGGUCACUAGCUGUUCGAACUUCGGUUUGAGUGGCUAAGCGAAAGUGAUAAGUGACCCACCUGGGGAGUACGUUCGCAAGAAUGAAACUCAAAGGAAUUGACGGGGGCCCGCACAAGCGGUGGAGCAUGUGGUUUAAUUCGAUGAUACGCGAGGAACCUUACCAGGGCUUAAAUGUAAAUUGACAGGUUUAGAGAUAGACUUUUCUUCGGACAAUUUACAAGGUGCUGCAUGGUUGUCGUCAGCUCGUGCCGUGAGGUGU